GAUGAAGAACGUAGUGAAAUGCGAUAAGUAAUGUGAAUUGCAGAAUUCAGUGAAUCAUCGAAUCUUUGAACGCACAUUGCGCCCCCUGGUAUUCCGGGGGGCAUGCCUGUUCGAGUGUCAUUUCACCACUCAAGCCUCGCUUGGUAUUGGGCAACGCGGUCCGCCGCGUGCCUCAAAUCGACCGGCUGGGUCUUCUGUCCCCUAAGCGUUGUGGAAACUAUUCGCUAAAGGGUGCUCGGGAGGCUACGCCGUAAAACAAACCCAUUUCUAAGGUUGACCUCGGAUCAGGUAGGGAUACCCGCUGAACUUAAGCAUAUCAAUAAGCGGAGGA
Molecule: unclassified non-coding RNA, 331 nt
Filed under: soil metagenome
Description: partial contains 5.8S ribosomal RNA, internal transcribed spacer 2, and large subunit ribosomal RNA
Rfam family: 5.8S ribosomal RNA (bases 1-120)
Source: RNAcentral